This 253-nucleotide ribosomal RNA is filed under the name uncultured bacterium. RNAcentral's name for it is "partial 16S ribosomal RNA". It matches the Rfam family "Bacterial small subunit ribosomal RNA", at positions 524 to 776 of the family's 1533-position model. The record is from RNAcentral.
UACGAGAGGCCCGAACGUUAUUCGGAAUUACUGGGCUUAAAGAGUUCGUAGGCGGCGCAGCAAGUAGGGUGUGAAAGCCCUCGGCUUAACCGAGGAAUUGCGCUCUAAACUACUGUGCUUGAGGAAUCUAGAGGUGAGCGGAACUGAUGGUGGAGCGGUGAAAUGCGUUGAUAUCAUCAGGAACACCGGAGGCGAAGGCGGCUCACUGGGGAUUUUCUGACGCUGAGGAACGAAAGCCAGGGGAGCGAACGGG